This 695-nucleotide long non-coding RNA is filed under the name Homo sapiens (human). RNAcentral describes it as "HSALNT0087901". The record is from RNAcentral. Lineage: Eukaryota; Metazoa; Chordata; Mammalia; Primates; Hominidae.
CACAAGGCCAGCCCAGAUUCAAGAUGAAAGGAAAUGGAUUCCAUCUCUUGAUCGAUGGAGCAGCACACACAUACAGAGAGAGAAGAAAGUGAUGGCCGCCAUAUUUGGAGAUUCCACCACACAUACUGUACUCUACAUUGUCACGCAGUUCUAAGAAAUUUCAAUUCACCACCAGGAAUCCUGAUUGAGCAGCUUCCCUCCAUGGAGCAACUUUAUGACUUAUUUUGCAUCUUUUUGAUAUUGAAAAGGUUGGAUGGCUUUCUGUUGGGGCAUACCACCUGGCAUCCCUAGACUUCAUUCAGAUGUACAGUUGAAUCAAAGACAAAGACAGUGAAUGGAGAAUCUAAAAUGAGGACUCAGAGUUCUCCAUUGUCCUAUUAUUGCACAAAGGAUGUCUAAAGAAAUGCCUAACGUCAAGGAGCAGGGAGUUAACAGCUGGGCACUCCCUUUCUUUAUAGCUCUUCUCCAGCUCUCCCCUUGCUGCCACAUGCAGGCCACCAUCUUCUAGCCAUGGAUUGAUUGCUAAGGGAGUCAGGUGGUGGGGUAGGUAUUUCUAAAUUAAAAGCCUAGGGAGAUUAUUCUAGCUCUCUGGAAAUAAAGGCACAAAAAUUAUUUUACUACUUCCAUUUCAUUUUAACAAACUGUGCUCAUUCACCUCCUGCUCUGUAAGGUGAUAAGAUAGAUAUUAUAAAUAG